AUAGAUUACUCAAUUGAUGA
This 20-nucleotide non-coding RNA is filed under the name Arabidopsis thaliana (thale cress). Lineage: Eukaryota; Viridiplantae; Streptophyta; Magnoliopsida; Brassicales; Brassicaceae. The record is from RNAcentral.